This 253-nucleotide ribosomal RNA is filed under the name uncultured bacterium. RNAcentral describes it as "partial 16S ribosomal RNA". It matches the Rfam family "Bacterial small subunit ribosomal RNA", at positions 524 to 776 of the family's 1533-position model. The record is from RNAcentral.
UACGUAGGGUGCGAGCGUUAAUCGGAAUUACUGGGCGUAAAGAGCGCGCAGGCGGUCGUUCAAGUCGCGUGUGAAAGCCCCCGGCUCAACUGGGGAGGGUCAUUCGAUGCUGAUCGACUGGAAGGCAGGAGAGGGAAGCGGAAUUCCCGGUGUAGUGGUGAAAUGCGUAGAUAUCGGGAGGAACACCAGUGGCGAAGGCGGCUUCCUGGCCUGUUCUUGACGCUGAGGCGCGAAAGCUAGGGGAGCAAACGGG